Molecule: ribosomal RNA, 495 nt
Filed under: uncultured bacterium
Lineage: Bacteria
Description: partial 16S ribosomal RNA
Rfam family: Bacterial small subunit ribosomal RNA
Source: RNAcentral
GACGAACGCUGGCGGCGUGCCUAAUACAUGCAAGUAGAGCGCUGAAGGAGGAGCUUGCUUCUCUGGAUGAGUUGCGAACGGGUGAGUAACGCGUAGGUAACCUGCCUGGUAGCGGGGGAUAACUAUUGGAAACGAUAGCUAAUACCGCAUAAUAGUAGAUGUCGCAUGACAUUUGCUUAAAAGGUGCAAUUGCAUCACUACCAGAUGGACCUGCGUUGUAUUAGCUAGUUGGUGAGGUAACGGCUCACCAAGGCAACGAUACAUAGCCGACCUGAGAGGGUGAUCGGCCACACUGGGACUGAGACACGGCCCAGACUCCUACGGGAGGCAGCAGUAGGGAAUCUUCGGCAAUGGACGGAAGUCUGACCGAGCAACGCCGCGUGAGUGAAGAAGGUUUUCGGAUCGUAAAGCUCUGUUGUAAGAGAAGAACGAGUGUGAGAGUGGAAAGUUCACACUGUGACGGUAUCUUACCAGAAAGGGACGGCUAACUACGUG